RNAcentral lists this non-coding RNA (30 nucleotides) under Mus musculus (house mouse). Lineage: Eukaryota; Metazoa; Chordata; Mammalia; Rodentia; Muridae. The record is from RNAcentral.
UGAAAAGGACCUGGUCACUUCCGGUAGUGG